UGUACUUCCUACUCAUAGCUGGA
RNAcentral lists this unclassified non-coding RNA (23 nucleotides) under Mus musculus (house mouse). RNAcentral's name for it is "oocyte_clustered_small_RNA6481". Lineage: Eukaryota; Metazoa; Chordata; Mammalia; Rodentia; Muridae. The record is from RNAcentral.